Eptesicus fuscus (big brown bat) is the source of this 157-nucleotide long non-coding RNA. RefSeq lists it as uncharacterized. The record is from RefSeq and is a predicted model, not a curated record. Lineage: Eukaryota; Metazoa; Chordata; Mammalia; Chiroptera; Vespertilionidae. The transcript is spliced from 4 exons.
UAUGGCUCGUCUGCCUCUCUUUACUUAGUUCCACCUGAAAAACACCAUGAACUCAAUUUCUAUUGCCACCCAUCAUUUGAAUCCCAAAAAGCAUUUCCACUUCCUUGAUGAGGUAAAAAAAUGAAAUUCUCUAGAGAAAUACUUGUGCAGAAAUCAG